RNAcentral lists this ribosomal RNA (778 nucleotides) under uncultured Neocallimastigales. RNAcentral's name for it is "partial large subunit ribosomal RNA". It matches the Rfam family "Eukaryotic large subunit ribosomal RNA", at positions 24 to 624 of the family's 3401-position model. The record is from RNAcentral. Lineage: Eukaryota; Fungi; Neocallimastigomycota; Neocallimastigomycetes; Neocallimastigales.
UACGACUACAUAUCAGGCAUAUCAAUAAGCGGAGGAAAAGAAACUAACUAGGAUUCCCUUAGUAACGGCGAGUGAAGCGGGAAGAGCUCAAAUUUGAAAUCUUCAAGGUUCUACCUUGACGAAUUGUAGUUUAAAGAAGUGUUUUCUGUUGGAGUUUUGGUAAAAGUUCUUUGGAAUAGGACAUCAUAGAGGGUGAGAAUCCCGUAUUUGACCAUUUCUUCCAGCUGUGUGAUACACUUUCAAAGAGUCGGAUUGUUUGGGAAUGCAGACCAAAAUGGGUGGUAAAUUUCAUCUAAAGCUAAAUAUUGGCGAGAGACCGAUAGCGGACAAGUACCGUGAGGGAAAGAUGAAAAGAACUUUGAAAAGAGAGUUAAACAGUACGUGAAAUUGUCAAAAGGGAAGCGUUUGACACCAGUGUUGUUUUCUCGAAAAUCAAUUAAAAAUGGCUUGAUUUUGUGUUGUAUUGACCUUAAAAGCUUUCUUCACUUUUUUCAUGUCUUUUUUAAUGCACUUUUCGUUUAACAAGUCAGCAUCAAUUUCUUCUGUUGUAAAAGGGUCAUUGGAAGGUGGCUUUCUUUUCGGAGAAAGUGUUUAUAGCCUUUGACUCCUGCAAUCGGAGAGAUUGAGGUCUGCGGCGUAGAUCCUUCGGGGUUAGAUACAUUUGUGCUAAGUUAUAGUUUUUCAUAGACAACAUUGUUGACUAUGAUUUAAUCAUUGUAGCUUACUCGCUUACUGCUAUUUUACCUACGCUUAGGAUGUUGACGCGCGUGUGUGCGUG